GUCGAGAGGCUUCGGCAAUGGGGGAAACCCUGACCGAGCGACGCCGCGUGGGCGAUGAAGGCCGUUAGGUUGUAAAGCCCUGUCGAGCGGGAAGAAUUGCAGAGGGGUAAACAAUCCCUUUGUUUGACGGUACCGCUAAAGGAAGCUCCGGCCAACUCCGUGCCAGCAGCCGCGGUAAUACGGGGGGAGCAAACGUUGUUCGGAAUUACUGGGCGUAAAGGGCGUGCAGGCGGUUCGGUAAGAGAGAUGUGAAAUGCCCUGGCUCAACCAGGGAACUGCAUCUCUGACUGCCGAACUUGAGCAUGGGAGAGGAUGCGAGAAUUCCCGGUGUAGCGGUGAAAUGCAUUGAUAUCGGGAGGAAUACCAGUGGCGAAGGCGCGCAUCUGGCCCAUUGCUGACGCUCAGGCGCGAAAGCUAGGGGAGCAAACAGGAUUAGAUACCCGUGUAGUCC
Molecule: ribosomal RNA, 451 nt
Filed under: uncultured bacterium
Lineage: Bacteria
Description: bacterial SSU rRNA
Rfam family: Bacterial small subunit ribosomal RNA
Source: RNAcentral